GACGGGGGGGGCAAGUGUUCUUCGGAAUGACUGGGCGUCAAGGGCACGUAGGCGGUGAAUCGGGUUGAAAGUGAAAGUCGCCAAAAAGUGGCGGAAUGCUCUCGAAACCAAUUCACUUGAGUGGGACAGAGGAGAGUGGAAUUUCAUGUGUAGGGGUGAAAUCCGUAGAUCUACGAAGGAAGGCCAAAAGCGAAGGCAGCCCUCUGGGUCCCUACCGACGCUGGGGUGCGAAAGCAUGGGGAGCGAACAGG
This 251-nucleotide ribosomal RNA is filed under the name uncultured bacterium. RNAcentral's name for it is "partial 16S ribosomal RNA". It matches the Rfam family "Bacterial small subunit ribosomal RNA", at positions 524 to 776 of the family's 1533-position model. The record is from RNAcentral.